UUUCUGAAAAUGUAUUCCACAAAAAUAGAGUGUUCAGAUAGUUGCAUCACAUUUAGGAUUGAGUCUAGGAUGUUUCAUAUAAGAUUGUCGCAUAUGCAUUGGGGAUUAUGAUGAGAUAGCCUUGUAAGCAUUUUUGUUCAUCGUUGCUAGUUGUCUGAUGCGUAGUCAAUGAAAUUGAAGUAAAACAGCACCAUGUCUUGAAUGCUCUACUCGAUCACACUGUUAUUAUCUGAUACCAUUUCCUAUCAAUUUGAACCUGAAUCUGACUUGCAAUUAUCAUGUCUUAGCAUCGAAUUUGAACUCAUGGAUACCAUAUACAUACUUGGGUUUUCUUUAAACUUUUCAACACCCAUGCUAACCCAAGUAGCUGCUUCCAUCAUUGAAGUAGUUUCCCUUGCCCUUAACCAAACCUUUCUUUUGAGCCCUGUUAUAUAUCUUGUGUGAUUGUGAGGCCUGUUUCAGGAUUGAGCUUGGAAGAAAGUGUUAGGUUUGAGCCGACAAGAGUAGUGUCUCAUGUAGUUCUAGUCCACGUUUUCUAGGCUAGAUAGGACUAGGUGGGUGUCUAUUCUUGAAGUGGAGAAAAAUAAGAGAGAAAGGAAAUGUUGAUGUUCUUAGGAGAAGGAAGUUGAGAAACAAGUUAGUCUAGUAAUGGAUUUUGGGGAACUAAAAAAAAAAUAUAGGCUCACAACAAAAGAAAAAAAAAGUCUAGAAAAGUCUUGAUCACAAGAAGAUAACAUGAGCCAUAGUUGUCAAAGAAAACCAAAAGUCCACUAGAUCCAUCAAAGUAAAAGAAACUUCUCCUUAGAAUAAGAGUCAACGAAAAGAAAGAGUGGUUUGAUCCAAGAUAAGAAUGAGAAAAAAAA
This 863-nucleotide small RNA is filed under the name Arabidopsis thaliana (thale cress). RNAcentral's name for it is "ATSL272310". The record is from RNAcentral. Lineage: Eukaryota; Viridiplantae; Streptophyta; Magnoliopsida; Brassicales; Brassicaceae.